GAUGAAGAACGCAGCGAAAUGCGAUAAGUAGUGUGAAUUGCAGAAUUCAGUGAAUCAUCGAAUCUUUGAACGCACAUUGCGCCCCUUGGUAUUCCAUGGGGCAUGCCUGUUCGAGCGUCAUUUGUACCUUCAAGCUUUGCUUGGUGUUGGGUGUUUGUCUCGCCUCUGCGUGUAGACUCGCCUUAAAACAAUUGGCAGCCGGCGUAUUGAUUUCGGAGCGCAGUACAUCUCGCGCUUUGCACUCAUAACGACGACGUCCAAAAGUACAUUUUUACACUCUUGACCUCGGAUCAGGUAGGGAUACCCGCUGAACUUAAGCAUAUCAAUAAGCGGAGA
This 336-nucleotide unclassified non-coding RNA is filed under the name soil metagenome. RNAcentral describes it as "partial contains 5.8S ribosomal RNA, internal transcribed spacer 2, and large subunit ribosomal RNA". The stretch from base 1 to 120 matches the Rfam family "5.8S ribosomal RNA", at positions 35 to 154 of the family's 154-position model. The record is from RNAcentral.